RNAcentral lists this ribosomal RNA (465 nucleotides) under uncultured bacterium. RNAcentral's name for it is "bacterial SSU rRNA". It matches the Rfam family "Bacterial small subunit ribosomal RNA", at positions 917 to 1382 of the family's 1533-position model. The record is from RNAcentral.
GGGCCCGCACAAGCGGUGGAGCAUGUGGUUCAAUUCGACGCAACGCGAAGAACCUUACCUGGGCUCGAAGCGCAGUGGACCGGGGUAGAAAUAUCCCUUUCCGCAAGGACUGCUGCGGAGGUGCUGCAUGGCUGUCGUCAGCUCGUGUCGUGAGAUGUUGGGUUAAGUCCCGCAACGAGCGCAACCCUUAUCCCUAGUUGCCAUCGGGUCAAGCCGGGCACUCUAGUGAAACCGCCCCGGAUAACGGGGAGGAAGGUGGGGAUGACGUCAAGUCCUCAUGGCCUUUAUGUCCAGGGCUACACACGUGCUACAAUGGUCGGUACAAACCGUCGCAAACCUGCGAAGGGGAGCUAAUCGGAAAAAGCCGGCCUCAGUUCGGAUUGGAGUCUGCAACUCGACUCCAUGAAGCUGGAAUCGCUAGUAAUCGCAGAUCAGAACGCUGCGGUGAAUACGUUCCCGGGCCUU